UACGUAGGGUGCGAGCGUUGUCCGGAAUCAUUGGGCGUAAAGAGCUUGUAGGCGGUUUGUCGCGUCUGCUGUGAAAAUCCGGGGCUCAACCCCGGACUUGCAGUGGGUACGGGCAGACUAGAGUGUGGUAGGGGAGACUGGAAUUCCUGGUGUAGCGGUGGAAUGCGCAGAUAUCAGGAGGAACACCGAUGGCGAAGGCAGGUCUCUGGGCCACUACUGACGCUGAGAAGCGGAAGCAUGGGGAGCGAACAGG
Molecule: ribosomal RNA, 253 nt
Filed under: uncultured bacterium
Lineage: Bacteria
Description: partial 16S ribosomal RNA
Rfam family: Bacterial small subunit ribosomal RNA
Source: RNAcentral